Molecule: ribosomal RNA, 2932 nt
Filed under: Durio zibethinus
Lineage: Eukaryota; Viridiplantae; Streptophyta; Magnoliopsida; Malvales; Malvaceae
Description: eukaryotic LSU rRNA
Rfam family: Eukaryotic large subunit ribosomal RNA
Source: RNAcentral
ACAAGUGUCUUCAGUGGUGGUCUAGGUCCAAGGCCCCUAGAAAAAUCAUUGGAAAAGGUGAGAUCCUUGUUGUGCUUGGACCUUAUCGCACCAUAAGGUGCUUGAAAUUGUUGGGAGAGAAGUAAAUGGUGGUUGAUGAUGUGCCUUGGUUAGAUGUGGAAUAGCAAGAGCUAGCCCAUUGAUUAGCUCAAGCCAUGGACCAACACGGGUCACAUCAGUGGCCCAAGCCUAAGCUUUUGAUAUGCCUAUAAAGAUGUCACCAUGAUCAUGGAAUGUAGCAUGUACUAUCUCAGUGUGCCUUAGCACCAUUGUGCUCUUGAUGUCAGCCUGUGGGCUCCCCAUCUAGCCUAUCUUAAAACACGAACCAAGGAGUCUAACAUUUAUGCCAGUCAAUGGGCUAGAAAACCUAUAUGGUGCAAGGAAGUUGAUUGGUAAGAUCCCUCAUGGGUGCACUACCAACCGACUUUAAUCUUUUGAGAAAGGUUCAAGUAUGAGCAUGCUUGUCUAGACGUAAAAUAUGGUGAACUAUGCUUGAGUGAGGGAAAAGCUUGAGGAAAUUUUAGUGGAAGCCCAUAGUGAUAAUGACGUGCAAAUCAUUCAUCUGACUUAGGUAUAGGAGUGAAAGUCUAAUCAAACCAUCUAGUAGGUAGUUCCCUCCAAAGUUUCCCUAAAGAUAGCUGGAGCCCUUAGCAAGUUCUAUCAAGUAAAGCUAAUGAUUAAAGGCAUCAGGGGUGCAAUGCCCUCGACCUAUUCUCAAACUUUAAAUAGGUAGGAUAGUAUGGCUACUUUGUUGAACUACACCAUACAAUUAAAAGCUUCAAGUGGGCCAUUUUUGGUAAGCAAAACUAGCGAUGCAUGUUGAACUAGAAGCUAGGUUAUGGUGCCCAAUUGCACACUAACCUAGAACCCACUAAGGGUGUUGGUCAACUAAGAUAGCAAGACAAAGGUCUUGGACGUCAAAAUCUGCUAAAGAGUGUGUAACUCACCUAUUGAAUCAACUAGCCUUGAAAAUAGAUGGCACUUAAGUGUACGACAUAAACCUAGCUAUCAGGGCAAAGGUUUGGCCCCGAUGAAUAGGAGGGCAUAAGCUCAGGUGGAGUGGCUAUCAGUUCAAAUCUUGGUGGUAUUAGCAAAUACUCAAAUGAAAACUUUGAAGGCCAAAAAAAAAAGGUUCCAUGUUAACAACACUUACACAUGGGUUAGUCGAUCUUAAGAGAUAGGGGAAACUCAUUCGAUAGCAUAUCCAGCGUGAGUUGUGAAUGGGAAUUGGGUUAAAAUUCCUAAAUCAUGAUAUGACGAUUGGUGGCAAUGUUAGGGAGUCUAUAAACAUCAAUGAGGGCCUUAUCUUUUAUAUUUAAUGGCCUGCGCAACCUGGAAAUGGCUCAACAUAAGGUAUGUCUAAUGACCAAAAAAACAUUAUGUGUCAUGUGGCAUCUGAUGCACCCCCAACAGCCCUUGAAAAUUCAAAGGACUGAGUGUCAUCCAUGCCUAGCUAUACUCAUAAUCAUGUCAAGCCUCCAAGAUGAAUAGCCAUUGGUCGAUGGAAUAAUAUAGGCAAGGGAAGUUGACAAAAUUGAUCCAUAACCUUGGGAAAAAAAUUGGCUUUAAGUGCUGGGCAUGGGGGUCCUAGUCCCAAACCCAUCGGCUACCAAUGCACUACUCGAGCUACUCCCACAGUGAAAAUGGGUUGUCACAUGGUGGUUGGGGGAUGGAUUGGGAAUGGCUCCCUCUAGGGCCUUCCCUGGGCGAUGACCAGUUGACUUAAAAGUGGUAUAGACAAGGGCAUCUAACUAUUUAAUUAAAACAAAUCAUUGUGAUGGUCCAUAUGGAUCCUCACAUAGUGUGAUUUCUACUUAGUGCUCUAAAUGUUAAAGUGAAGAAAUUCAACCAAGCGUAGGUAAAUGAUAUAAGUAACUAUGACUCUCUUAAGGUAGCCAAAUGCUACAUAUCUAAUUAGUAAAGUGUAUAAUUGGAUUAACCAAAUUCCCACUGUCCCUAUCUACUAUCCAAUGAAACCAUAGCCAAGGGAACAGGCUUGGUAGAAUCAGUGUGGAAAUAAGACCCUGUUAAGCUUGAUACUAGUUUGACUUUGUGAAAUGACUUAAAAGAUGUAGGAUAAAUGGGAGCCAUUAGGCGAAAUUGAAAUACCACUACUUUUAAUGUUAUGUUACUUAUUUUAUGAAUCAGAGGUGGGGCAUGACCCUUGUUUUGGACCCAAGGCCGACCCUAGUCGAUCAAUCUAGGUAAAAGAUAUUGUCAGGUGAGGAGUUUGAUUAGGGUGGCACAUCUGUUAUAAGAUAAUACAGGUGUUCUAAGAUGAGCUGAAUAAGAAUAGAAAUCUCAUAUGGAAACAAAAAGGUAAAAGCUUGGUCAAUUUUGAUUUCUAGUACAAAUACAAACCAUGAAAGUGUGGCCUAUCAAUCCUUUAGACCUUUGGAAUUUUAAGCUAGAGGUGUUAGAAAAGUUACCGUAAUAGGGAUAACUAGCUUGUGGUUGCCAAGUGUUCAUAUUGAUGUUGCUUUUUGACCUUUUGAUGUUGGCUAUUCCUAUCAUUGUGAAAUAGAAUUCAUAAGUGUCAAAUUAUUCACCCACUAAAAGGUAACGUGAGCUAGGUUUAAACCAUCAUGAGAAGGUUAGUUUUACCCUACUGAUGGCAACAUCACAAUAAUAAUUCAACCUAGUAGGAGAGGAACCAUGGGUUCACACAAUUGGUCAUAGCGCUUGGUUAAAAAGCCAAUGGCACGAAGCUACCAUGUGCUAGAUUAUGAUUGAAUGCCUCUAAGUCAGAAUUAGGGCUAGAAGUAAUGCACGCACCCAUCAUUCGAUUGCCAACCCAUAGUAGGGGUCCAUGGCCUCCAAGGGCACGUGUUGUAGAUCCAGGCCUAUGACGGGUAAGCCACAUGGGUCUCUUUAGAGCUCAAUUCCCACCAAA